AGAAAGCAAAUUAAACCUACCCCAUAUAUACCUUGGCCCAGACCCUGUACCUGGUCUGUACUGUGAAUAGCAAGACAGGA
Molecule: small nucleolar RNA, 80 nt
Filed under: Castor canadensis (American beaver)
Lineage: Eukaryota; Metazoa; Chordata; Mammalia; Rodentia; Castoridae
Description: Small nucleolar RNA SNORA51 (ENSCCNG00000029257.1)
Source: RNAcentral